UAUAGAAAGAGGAGAGAACGGAAAUCAAGGGGACAAGUAGCCAUUCUGCCACCUCCCACGCAGGACUUGACAACCUAGCUCCUGCUGGCGCUGCUGCCUCCCUGCGGAGCCUGUGUGUCCCAGCGGCUGGUCUGCCGGGUGCCUCCCGGGCCGGUCUUCCACGUGCGGCAGGCCCUCUUCCUGGAGAAGGUUUCGGCUCCCACAGAUCUGCACAGACCCUGGUCAUCCUUAAAGCCCAGCUGAAGCCCUCCUGUUCCAGGCAGCCGGCCCUAACGCCCUCAUUUGAGACAGCCACUCCCUGCUCAUGGCUCCUGACGAAACUCUUCCUUCCUCUGCUCUCGCACACCUGAACUUCGCAAGAACUUUGAGCAUCCCUUUCAAAUGGAGGGGCUGGAUCCUGCAGAGGAAAGUGAGAAGACCAGUGACAAACUGGGAGAAGCUGUUUUCUGCAAACGUAAUGAAGGAAGAUCCACGCCCCAGUGCGCAGACAGCGUCACGCUAAGGGCCCCGUGAAAGGAAGGGCAGGAAGAGGCUGAGCUGCUCUGCAGGGAGACGCAGUCGGGAGGGCCCAGACACCCUCCCACCACCAGCGGCCACGGAGGGCGCGUCAAAGUCACGGGAGAUGCAAUUACAUCCCUUUAAUUGGCAAAAACGACAAAUCGGAAGGCGGAUGACCUUGGGUGGGGGAGCAGGAGAGCAGAACACAGGAGCUGGGUUCGGUGCGGGCUGCUGCCAGCACACAGCCCCACAGCGCCGGUGGGUUUCUGGGUGCUUAUUACUUUAUAAAUAACAUGCUAAGGAUGCCUGUUAGUUCCCUGUGGCUGCCCUAACAAAUUAUGACAAAAUGGGUGGCUUAAAA
This 859-nucleotide long non-coding RNA is filed under the name Macaca mulatta (Rhesus monkey). RNAcentral's name for it is "lncRNA (ENSMMUG00000051137.1)". Lineage: Eukaryota; Metazoa; Chordata; Mammalia; Primates; Cercopithecidae. The record is from RNAcentral.